Long non-coding RNA from Ictalurus punctatus (channel catfish), 2229 nucleotides. RefSeq lists it as uncharacterized. Lineage: Eukaryota; Metazoa; Chordata; Actinopteri; Siluriformes; Ictaluridae. The transcript is spliced from 5 exons. The record is from RefSeq and is a predicted model, not a curated record.
UUUCAUUGUCUGGUUAUCAUUUUCAUCUCUUUUCCUUUUAGGUUGGUAUUCAAGGCCUUUCAAUCACCAGAGUGUUUGGAACAAAGAAGGAUCAAUCUAAACUUUUGGAAAGCUGAGAAUUCACUGCAAGCCUAACUAUUAGCUAGGCAAGUCUCUGUUGAGAAUGGGAGAGAUAAGAUUCAAAGAAAAAUAAUGGAGAUAAUUAGGAAUGGCUGAUUAGUGUCACUAACUGAUGGUCUUCCUGUACUCACUGAGAAAAAUCUGCCACUAUAGAGAGAUGGACAAGCAGAAUAUUUUGUGAUGCAUGGAAAGAAUUCUGUAAGUAAAGGGAAAGUACACAGUAAGGAAGGACCAGUUGGACCUUGAGGGGAUGAGUACAAACCAGCCAUCACGUCGCCAUGUGCUCAGGGUUUCUCUUGGAUCGCUGAGGUCUUGAUUCUGUCCUGUUGCACUCACCCCCUGAGUGUACUGAAGUGUUUCAAGAAACUGGUCUUCAGUCACACCAAACUCUCGUCUGUCCCCCACAUUAGAUCUCCAUCAAUUUGCUUACCGCACAAACGGCUCAAUGGCUCUGCGCUCCACCCUGACGACAAAUAAACCACCACACAUUCCUUGAUUUUACUCCAGUCCUUUAAAACUGCCAUUCCCUCCAGUCUGCUCACAAAGCUCAAUAACCCUGGCAUCAGCACCUCUGUGUAAUUGGAUUUUGGAUUUUCUAAACACCUGACAUUAAUCUGUUACAAUUUUCUCCCUACAUAAGUGAUUGUAUGCCUAUGCACGACUCUAAUGUCAUCAUUAAGCCGAUAGUCAAAGUUGAUUGAGUCCAGAGAUCACACACCGUCUCACAGCUCAGUAGCAGCUCAGUCAGAAGGCCUUGCAACGAGUUGUGAAGUCUGCCCAGUGAAUCCUCAGCACCCGGUUUCCUGUUAUCGAUGCUAUCGGUACGUACAGGGCCUGCAGAGUGCGUGGAGUGUAUCGUCAAGGACACCACUCACCCAAGCAAUGGACCGUUCCCUGCUACCAUCAGCGGCGUGUCCCAGGAGUGAAGGAAGGCCCAUAAUAAAGGCAAAGAAAGAAGACAGAAGUGCAUUGGAGAGAGGGGGAGAAGGUCCUUAAUCAGUCUAACACCACAAGUGGAGCAUGGUUUCAUUUCCGCAGGAAGACGACCUCCUCUUAUUGCCGCCAUGCUAACUGCUGCAGCAGGGAGAGGGAUGCAUAUAUAUAUAAAAUGAGGGCUGGCAAUAUGAGUGCAACUCUCAGCCCGCGUUGACACUAGCCCAAUUAUCCAGGCCUCCCAUUGUCACAGAGACAGGCAUGUUGUAGUGUGUUGGUGCCCGACCAUGCCAGUCUCGCUGUGAGGAACACAACAUCAGAGCCGAACUCAGGAGCUACAGGAUCGCACUGAAGCCUGCUGUGCUUGAUGGUCAAACUAAUCAAUGAAUAUUGACAAUGUCGCUGCGCGUUUCCUACCGAAGAGGAUUGUGGAUCCACACUACGGCCGUGUUCUUCCUUUUACAUGUUUAAUAAGAUCGAUGUUUCUUAAUAGUAGUGGGCUGUCUUAUGUGUGUUCAGAUACGACUGAUCCUGAAGAAAUGUCUUAGGAAUGACGUGCUUGUUUUGUUUACUCAUUGUAACAUGAUGUCUUCCAUUUUUAAGCACGGCUACAGUAUUAUAAGCCGUGAUUUUACGAGUGUGAUGAGUGCCAGUGUUCAUGCUGUUUUAUAUUAGGUUAAUACUGGGUUUGAGAUCUGAAUAAGUAGUAGAAGUAGGUAUUAAAUCUCAAUUGAAAAAGGGUACAGUUCCACUUUGCUGAUGUGUUAAUGUAAUGAACAGUGAAGUUAAUGGCUUAUUAAUGUAUCUGGGUGUAAACAGAUGUAAUUGAACAUGUAUCUAAAGAGUAGUUUUCUUUGUGUGUCAUUUUGUAGAGAGGUUGGUUUUGUUGCAACAACAAUAUAUAUAAAAAAAUAAAUAACAGCAGCCAAAAAAAGAGGAAAAAUAAAGAGUUUUACCUGGAGGAUCUCUGACAAAGAUCUUCAAAACUGGUUCAAAGUUUGUCUGAUCGAUGGUCUUUCUCGGUCUCCUCAGUUAGCGAGUCUCCUUAGCGUGGGAUAAUUUUAUGUAUUUAUUUUAAACUGUAAUUUAUAUAGGAUUAAGCAGAUUAAACUAGCUGGGCUUCUUCUCCAAGAUGUAAUACUGAAUUUAUCUCAAAUGCUAUGUUAUCUGGUUUGA